Molecule: non-coding RNA, 109 nt
Filed under: Massilioclostridium coli
Lineage: Bacteria; Bacillati; Bacillota; Clostridia; Eubacteriales; Clostridiaceae
Description: FMN riboswitch (RFN element)
Rfam family: FMN riboswitch aptamer (RFN element)
About the family: The RFN element is a highly conserved domain that is found frequently in the 5'-untranslated regions of prokaryotic mRNAs that encode for flavin mononucleotide (FMN) biosynthesis and transport proteins. This element is a metabolite-dependent riboswitch that directly binds FMN in the absence of proteins.
Source: RNAcentral
GUUUCAGGGCGGAGUGAAAUUCUCCACUGGCGGUAAAGUCCGCGAGCCUUUUGAUAAGGUUGAUUUGGUGUAAUUCCAAAACCAACGGUUAUAGUCCGGAUGAAAGAAA